Molecule: ribosomal RNA, 231 nt
Filed under: uncultured bacterium
Lineage: Bacteria
Description: partial 16S ribosomal RNA
Rfam family: Bacterial small subunit ribosomal RNA
Source: RNAcentral
UGGGUGAUCUGCCCUGCACUUCGGGUUAAGCCUGGGAAACUGGGUCUAAUACCGGAUAUACCUCAUUGAUCUCUUGGUUGGUGGGGAAAGCUUUUGCGGUGUGGGAUGGGCCGCGGCCUAUCAGCUUGUUGGUGAGGUUACGGCUCACCAAGGCGUCGACGGGUAGCUGGCCUGAGAGGGUGACCGGCCACAUUGGAACUGAGACACGGUCCAGACUCCUACGGGAGGCAG